AUACAGAGGGUGCAAGCGUUAAUCGGAAUUACUGGGCGUAAAGCGCACGUAGGUGGUUCAUUAAGUCAGAUGUGAAAGCCCCGGGCUCAACCUGGGAACUGCAUUUGAAACUGGUGAGCUAGAGUAUGGUAGAGGUAAGUGGAAUUCCAGGUGUAGCGGUGAAAUGCGUAGAUAUCUGGAGGAACAUCAGUGGCGAAGGCGACUUACUGGACCAAUGCUGACACUGAGGUGCGAAAGCGUGGGGAGCAAACAGGAUUAGAAACCCUAGUAGUCC
This 274-nucleotide ribosomal RNA is filed under the name uncultured bacterium. Its description in RNAcentral is "partial 16S ribosomal RNA". It matches the Rfam family "Bacterial small subunit ribosomal RNA", at positions 523 to 796 of the family's 1533-position model. The record is from RNAcentral.